RNAcentral lists this long non-coding RNA (210 nucleotides) under Homo sapiens (human). RNAcentral describes it as "HSALNT0323157". Lineage: Eukaryota; Metazoa; Chordata; Mammalia; Primates; Hominidae. The record is from RNAcentral.
CUUCUUCCUCUACCUGUGUAUUUCACUUGGCUCUCUACAUCGACUCAGCUCCAGCCAUGUGAAGUGCCUCACUCCCUGUUCACCUUCCACCAUGAUUUUAAGUUCUGUGAGGCCUCCCUAGAAGCUGAUGCCACCAUGUUUCCUGUACAACCUGCAGAAUGACAUGGAAAUUAGUGCUUGCUUCCCAGAGUAAUCUUCAAAUUAAAUAUA